RNAcentral lists this long non-coding RNA (200 nucleotides) under Elaeis guineensis (African oil palm). RNAcentral describes it as "long non-coding RNA (EGUI_LNC058379)". Lineage: Eukaryota; Viridiplantae; Streptophyta; Magnoliopsida; Arecales; Arecaceae. The record is from RNAcentral.
AUCUUGAUCAGAAGGUAAUGAUUCAAUUGAUGAUAUAUUAAAAAAAAUUUUCUAGUUAUCAUCCUGUUUGGGCCAAAGACUUCCAAAAUCACCGUCUUAUGAGAUCACAUAAGAUAUUCGCACCCUUUAUUAGGAGUGACUGAUCUCUUAUUGAUCACUUAUAAUCUCCAUGUAUACUUUACCACAUUCAGAACACCCCA